RNAcentral lists this ribosomal RNA (367 nucleotides) under uncultured bacterium. RNAcentral's name for it is "bacterial SSU rRNA". It matches the Rfam family "Bacterial small subunit ribosomal RNA", at positions 525 to 896 of the family's 1533-position model. The record is from RNAcentral.
ACGGAGGGUGCAAGCGUUAUCCGGAAUCAUUGGGUUUAAAGGGUCCGUAGGCGGUUUAAUAAGUCAGUGGUGAAAGCCCAUCGCUCAACGGUGGAACGGCCAUUGAUACUGUUAAACUUGAAUUAUUAGGAAGUAACUAGAAUAUGUAGUGUAGCGGUGAAAUGCUUAGAGAUUACAUGGAAUACCAAUUGCGAAGGCAGGUUACUACUAAUGGAUUGACGCUGAUGGACGAAAGCGUGGGUAGCGAACAGGAUUAGAUACCCUGGUAGUCCACGCCGUAAACGAUGGAUACUAGCUGUUGGGAGCAAUCUCAGUGGCUAAGCGAAAGUGAUAAGUAUCCCACCUGGGGAGUACGUUCGCAAGAAUG